UACGUAGGGACCAAGCGUUGUUCGGAUUUACUGGGCGUAAAGGGCGCGUAGGCGGCUUGACAAGUCACUUGUGAAAUCUCCGGGCUUAACUCGGAACGGCCAAGUGAAACUGUCAUGCUAGAGUGCAGAAGGGGCAAUCGGAAUUCUUGGUGUAGCGGUGAAAUGCGUAGAUAUCAAGAGGAACACCUGAGGUGAAGACGGGUUGCUGGGCUGACACUGACGCUGAACUGCGAAAGCUAGGGGAGCGAACGGG
RNAcentral lists this ribosomal RNA (253 nucleotides) under uncultured bacterium. RNAcentral describes it as "partial 16S ribosomal RNA". It matches the Rfam family "Bacterial small subunit ribosomal RNA", at positions 524 to 776 of the family's 1533-position model. The record is from RNAcentral.